GGCAGUUCUUGGGUGAUGCACCCUGGAAUCAGGCUCCCUCCUCUCUGGUUCCAGGUGCAUCACCCAAGAAAAAUC
This is a non-coding RNA of Myotis lucifugus (little brown bat), 75 nucleotides long. The record is from Rfam. NCBI's taxonomy places the organism in Eukaryota, Metazoa, Chordata, Mammalia, Chiroptera, Vespertilionidae.